GUUAAAAUGUUUAUCCAUGUGUUGUAUGCGAUAUGGUUGUACUAUUAUUUUCUUAUGCCAAUAUACGCUGCUAUAUACUAGAAAUUUGAUAAAUGCUAUUCUCUGUCUUUUCUGCCCAAAUGACCUAAUAACUUCCAUCAUUUUGCACAAGAAAGGGGCCGUUGCAACUUGCAACAUGAGAUGUGUAAAGUUCAAUUCUCUGAGUCUACUGUUACAGUGCAUUCAUUAAAUUGUGUGUACACUCCUGAUUCCACGGGCUUAGAGUCUGAGUCACUUGUUGAAGGACCAUGCAGCCCAUAAGGCCCAUCCGAAAACCUAAUUUACCUGAUUUAACCGUUUUACCAAAGCCAAUCCAAACUUAUUUCAUAAGCACCACACAAUAGGACUUUUCACAGUUGCUCUAAGAUUGGCACCUGUGUCCAACUGUCUUAUGCCAAAAAACGACCAUCUUCAGUGUACAUCUCAGAUCUGCUUUCUACCAUUCAUUACUACUCUGCUUCAUCACAGAUCCAUUGUGACGCUGUCGCCGCACUCGUCAGAGAUCCAUCUCUGCAGCCAUCCCUAGUACGAUCACCAUUUGCUGUUAUUCACUUUUGCCAAGGGUUCUCGUUGUCCAGGAUUGUCUUGUUUUUACUGUUUUUAGUGACCAGCCACCACUUUCCUCUCCUGAACCUUGGGGAGUCCCUUCUUUAGAGCUGCUACUUCAGGUUACGAAGGGUUUUUCUUUAUUAUUUUUUUGAAAGGCAAUUUUUUUUUUAUUAAUCUUUGAGUAGGCAUUACAAAGACUAAAAGGAACAAGGUUAACGGCAUCACAUCCCUAAACAAAGCCUAAGAACAAUCUUGUGCCAAUCCAAGACCAAAGAGAGAGAGAGAGAGAGAGAGAAACUGAGAUUAGCAAGCUGCCAAUCAAGGUAACACCAAAUGGGCCAAGCCCAAAACAGCUAUUGGGUCAAGCCCAACCCUAAAUGACCUGAAACCCCAACCCUAGCAUUAUAUCAAACAAUGUUCUAAAAGUCGCUAGGUGGCCACCUUCGAACGAUUAAUCGGAUUAAUCGGUGCAUAUUAAUUAGUAUUCGGCGAUUAAUAGUUAGUCGGACCUAAUCGAGUAGGCCUCGCCAGCAAUUAAUCGCCGAUUAAUUCCUUGUUUUAGAACACUGAUAUUAUAACAACGACCACUGCCCUGCGCCCACACCGCCUGCCAUCCGAUGUUCACACCAGAUGCCGAGACCAGUGCCUAUGGAGGGUUCUCCUGCUGGUUCUGGAAGGAAACCAAACCAAACCAAACCGAACCGAGCCUUAAGUCCCAAUCACUUGGGGUCGGCUACAUGAAUCCUUUUCCUCCAUUGAGCUCUGGAAGGAACCGAAAAGAAAACGACAGCACCCACCGGAGAUGCAGAGGACGGAACAGCCACGGAGCCCAGCAAACCUCGAACCGCAACACUCAAUGAACACCACCAGCCGUCGGGAUCUCACUUCUCCGUUAAAGCCCCCCUUGCUGGAAACACCCAACAGUGUAAAUUGGUGGACAUCCACCAGAGUCGAAAAAUCUAUUGAAGAGAGGGGGAGAGGGAAGCAGAAAUGGACUAGGGAAAGGGAGAAGAAAGAGGAAAAAGAAGAAAAAAACAGAGGAAAUCGUAGGAGCUUUCAACCCUUGAUCGCUACCCAAAUAUCAACCUAAACAGACCCAUUGGAUUAUUUAGAUGUAUGAAGCCAGCCUAACUUCCCAACUGCCCAGGAAAAAGAAGAAAAAGGUCCAGCACAAAUACUAAACCAUCUUUAAGCCCAAGACCUCAACUCAGCCCAAUAACACAGAUGAACUGUAGCCAGGCAGCCGAAGAGGAGCGUGGUGGUGGUGGGUGACUUUAAUAGGAGUUUGGAUAAUUGGAUGGUGGUCGUGAUCAUAUUGUCAUAGAGAUGGCUCGCUUUUUGAGAACGUGGACUGUGUAGUCACUGUUUGAAACUUGGUUGUGACAUCUAUAUGCAUUCGUGAAAUAGAGAAAGAGAGUCAGAUGAAAUUUACCUGUACAUGUUUGAUAUUUUUUUUGAAACGGCAAAAACAUUUUAUUAAGGGGGAAAGGGGAAGGGAAUUCCAACCAAAAGUUGAAACAACCAGUUGGGAACAAAGCCCAAACACUCCUAGUGGGACAAAGCCCAAAACACCCAUGGGUCUAAAACCCAGAUAAUACAAUCAAAGCACAUAAACAAAGGGCCUAAAGUGCCCAAAAUAAACAAUGAAGCCCAGUCUAAAAGAAAAGCCAAAACCUAACCCUAGACAUUUGAGAAACUUCGAUCACAGCCGUAGAUCACUUUCAUCACCAGAAUGAGAAUAGAUCACACCACCACCACCAUGCAGCAGCAACCAACCACCACGCCACC
Rhododendron vialii is the source of this 2376-nucleotide long non-coding RNA. RefSeq lists it as uncharacterized. The transcript is spliced from 2 exons. NCBI's taxonomy places the organism in Eukaryota, Viridiplantae, Streptophyta, Magnoliopsida, Ericales, Ericaceae. The record is from RefSeq and is a predicted model, not a curated record.